GGGCCGGUAGUCUAGUCUGGUAGGAUACAGCAUGGCGUCCAACCCCUUGGCAAGACAGACUCCCAUAAUGGGGGAGGUCGGGGGUUCGAGUCUCGUCGCAACAAAGGGCGACGGGCGAAUAUCCCCCCCGGUCCACCA
Molecule: transfer RNA, 138 nt
Filed under: Nitrososphaerota archaeon
Lineage: Archaea; Thermoproteati; Nitrososphaerota
Description: Thaumarchaeota archaeon tRNA-Ile
Source: RNAcentral